This 357-nucleotide ribosomal RNA is filed under the name uncultured bacterium. RNAcentral's name for it is "bacterial SSU rRNA". It matches the Rfam family "Bacterial small subunit ribosomal RNA", at positions 1 to 334 of the family's 1533-position model. The record is from RNAcentral.
CUAUGCGCCUUGCCAGCCCGCUCAGUCAGAGUUUGAUCCUGGCUCAGAUUGAACGCUGGCGGCAGGCCUAACACAUGCAAGUCGUGCGGCAGCGAAAGAGAGCUUGCUUUCUUGUCGGCGAGCGGCAAACGGGUGAGUAAUGUCUGGGAAACUGCCUGAUGGCGGGGGAUAACUAGUGGAAACGGUAGCUAAUACCGCAUAACGUCGCAAGACCAAAGUGGGGGACCUUCGGGCCUCACGCCAUCAGAUGUGCCCAGGUGGGAUUAGCUGGUAGGUGGGGUAACGGCUCACCUAGGCGACGAUCCCUAGCUGGUCUGAGAGGAUGACCAGCCACACUGGAACUGAGACACGGUCCAG